AGAGUUUGAUCAUGGCUCCCAUCGAACGCUGGCGGCGUGGUUUAGGCAUGCAAGUCGAGCGAGAAAGCGGGCUUCGGUCCGCGAGUACAGCGGCGAAAGGGUGAGUAAUGUAUAGGUAAUCAUCCCUCGACUCCGGUAUAGCGUCUGGAAACGGGCGGUAAUCCCGGAUGGCCCCGAUAGCGGGAAUCCGCAGUCGGGUAAAGGUGGGGACCUUCGGGCCUGCCGGUUGGGGACGAGCCUAUAUCCCAUCAGCUAGUUGGUGAGGUAACGGCCCACCAAGGCUGUGACGGGUAGCCGGACUGAGAGGUUGACCGGCCACACUGGGACUGAGACACUGCCCAGACUCCUACGGGAGGCUGCAGUCGAGAAUCUUCCGCAAUGGGCGAAAGCCUGACGGAGCGACGCCGCGUGGAGGAUGAAGGCCUUCGGUUUGUAAACUCCUGUCACGGAUUAUGAAUGGCGCCGUGUUAACACCACGGCGCUUGACAAAGGUCCGAGAGGAAGCCACGGCUAACUCCGUGCCAGCAGCCGCGGUAAGACGGAGGUGGCAAGCGUUGCUCGGAAUCACUGGGCAUAAAGGGCGCCUAGGCGGUGCGGCAAGUCGACUGUGAAAUCCCUCGGCUCAACCGAGGAAGUGCAGCCGAAACUGCCGCGCUGGAGGACGAGAGAGGAGAGUGGAACUCCUGGUGGAGCGGUGAAAUGCGUAGAUAUCAGGAGGAACGCCGGUGGCGAAAGCGACUCUCUGGCUCGUUCCUGACGCUGACGCGCGAAAGCUAGGGGAGCGAACGGGAUUAGAUACCCCGGUAGUCCUAGCCGUAAACGAUGGGCACUAAGUAGUGGCGUUUUCGAUGACGUCACUGCCGUAGCAAACGUGUUAAGUGCCCCGCCUGGGGAGUAUGAUCGCAAGGUUGAAACUUAAAUGAAUUGACGG
RNAcentral lists this ribosomal RNA (931 nucleotides) under uncultured bacterium. RNAcentral describes it as "bacterial SSU rRNA". It matches the Rfam family "Bacterial small subunit ribosomal RNA", at positions 8 to 916 of the family's 1533-position model. The record is from RNAcentral.